RNAcentral lists this ribosomal RNA (744 nucleotides) under uncultured Planctomycetota bacterium. RNAcentral describes it as "bacterial SSU rRNA". It matches the Rfam family "Bacterial small subunit ribosomal RNA", at positions 574 to 1309 of the family's 1533-position model. Lineage: Bacteria; Pseudomonadati; Planctomycetota. The record is from RNAcentral.
GGCGGUCCUGCAUGUCGGUUGUGAAAGCCCCCGGCUCAACCGGGGAAGGGCAACCGAAACUGUGGGGCUAGAGUGUGGGAGGGGAGAAAGGAAUUCCUGGUGGAGCGGUGAAAUGCGUAGAUAUCAGGAGGAACGCCGGUGGCGAAAGCGAUUCUCUGGCCCACUACUGACGCUGAGGUGCGAAAGCUAGGGGAGCAAACGGGAUUAGAUACCCCGGUAGUCCUAGCCGUAAACGAUGGGCACUAGGUAGGGGAGGCUACAAGGUCUUCUCUGCUGGAGCUAACGCAUUAAGUGCCCCGCCUGGGGAGUAUGGUCGCAAGGCUAAAACUCAAAGGAAUUGACGGGGGCUCACACAAGCGGUGGAGCAUGUGGCUCAAUUCGAGGCAACGCGAAGAACCUUAUCCUGGGCUUGACAUGGUUGGAUGCCCUUAGCGAAAGCUAAGUAAGCUGCCUUCGGGUGAAACUUCCACAGGUGCUGCAUGGCUGUCGUCAGCUCGUGCUGUGAAGUGUUGGGUUAAGUCCCCUAACGAGCGAAACCCUUGUCUCUAGUUACCAGCAGGUCAUGCCGGGGACUCUAGAGAGACUGCCGGUGUUAAACCGGAGGAAGGUGGGGAUGACGUCAAGUCCUCAUGGCCUUUAUGCCCAGGGCUGCACACGUGCUACAAUGGCCGGUACAAACCGACGCAAUACCGCGAGGUGGAGCAAAUCGGAAAAAACCGGUCUCAGUUCGGAUUGCAGGCUGCA